Molecule: ribosomal RNA, 641 nt
Filed under: Rhodotorula sp. LH51
Lineage: Eukaryota; Fungi; Basidiomycota; Microbotryomycetes; Sporidiobolales; Sporidiobolaceae
Description: eukaryotic LSU rRNA
Rfam family: 5.8S ribosomal RNA (bases 208-361)
Source: RNAcentral
GGAAGUAAAAGUCGUAACAAGGUUUCCGUAGGUGAACCUGCGGAAGGAUCAUUAGUGAAUAUAGGACGUCCAACUUAACUUGGAGUCCGAACUCUCACUUUCUAACCCUGUGCACUUGUUUGGGAUAGUAACUCUCGCAAGAGAGCGAACUCCUAUUCACUUAUAAACACAAAGUCUAUGAAUGUAUUAAAUUUUAUAACAAAAUAAAACUUUCAACAACGGAUCUCUUGGCUCUCGCAUCGAUGAAGAACGCAGCGAAAUGCGAUAAGUAAUGUGAAUUGCAGAAUUCAGUGAAUCAUCGAAUCUUUGAACGCACCUUGCGCUCCAUGGUAUUCCGUGGAGCAUGCCUGUUUGAGUGUCAUGAAUACUUCAACCCUCCUCUUUCUUAAUGAUUGAAGAGGUGUUUGGUUUCUGAGCGCUGCUGGCCUUUACGGUCUAGCUCGUUCGUAAUGCAUUAGCAUCCGCAAUCGAACUUCGGAUUGACUUGGCGUAAUAGACUAUUCGCUGAGGAAUUCUAGUCUUCGGACUAGAGCCGGGUUGGGUUAAAGGAAGCUUCUAAUCAGAAUGUCUACAUUUUAAGAUUAGAUCUCAAAUCAGGUAGGACUACCCGCUGAACUUAAGCAUAUCAAUAAGCGGAGGAA